UACGAAGGGGGCUAGCGUUGCUCGGAAUCACUGGGCGUAAAGAGCGCGCAGGCGGUCGUUCAAGUCGCGUGUGAAAGCCCCCGGCUCAACUGGGGAGGGUCACGCGAUACUGAUCGACUCGAAGGCAGGAGAGGGAAGUGGAAUUCCCGGUGUAGUGGUGAAAUGCGUAGAUAUCGGGAGGAACACCAGUGGCGAAGGCGGUUGCCUGGAGCUUUGCUGACGCUGAGGCGCGAAAGCGUGGGGAGCGAUCCGG
This 253-nucleotide ribosomal RNA is filed under the name uncultured bacterium. Its description in RNAcentral is "partial 16S ribosomal RNA". It matches the Rfam family "Bacterial small subunit ribosomal RNA", at positions 524 to 776 of the family's 1533-position model. The record is from RNAcentral.